CAAAACACACAAAAGCCCAAAUCUUAAAAGGCCCAAAUCUAAAACACGACCCGACCCGACUUAUGUGAAGCAAUAGAUCAACGAUCUCCAUAUCAAGAGCUCUGAUCAACAAUGGCCGCCACAACAUCCUUGGACUCCUUCAGAAGCUUGAUACUGUUCUUAAGCUUCUCCCUCUUGCUCGCCACCGACGGAUACUCCUCCAGCAUCUUCUCAACUACUCCUCCACUACUUGAAUUCACCAAUUCCGCCACGAUCUCCUCAUGUAAUUGAAUGUUCACAAGAUGCCGACAAUGUCACCAUCAAUCAAACUUAGCAGUGGAUGAGUCCUGAAGAGAGACCUUCAGGAGCCAUGUCAGCCUUUGUCACAACAGCCAGAGUCCGUUCACCAGUUUUGUCAACUUGUCUUGACAUGCGAAUGGAUUCGCAUGUGGUGAAGUCGACCGUAGCUGACAGAACAUUGAGGAUUAUUGAUUCUUGAGGCUCGAUGUACUUCAUGAUCAUCCUAGAAAUCUGUUCGUAAAUAUUCUCCGGUUGUCCAUUCACUGGAACUCGAGUUAUACCGGGAAGAUCGACCAUCGUAAGAUCUGGGACAUUGUUCUUCUUAACACUGAGGGUCAGGGGAGUGUCUGAAACUCCUUCACCAGUUCCUGCAGCACAGGUAGACAAAACUGGUUAGUAUCAAACACACAACACUCUAAAGUUCCAUCAUAUAGCAAAAGUAGGGUAAGCAGCAUUAAAAAUAUCAGAUGAGUAAAGACCAGUCUAGGAGAUCCAGAAACAUUAAACACUUUUAGACAACUUGUAUUCAGGUAUAUAUUACACAUCUAACUAAUGACUUCUAUGGUAGGUAAUAACAGUAAGAAGUUUCAUUGUGUUUCAAACUAGUAUAAUUAACUGCAUGAAUAAAACCAUAAAUGUAAUGACCAAACUAGGAUCCAGAAUCGAAUAAAACCUCUAGGCACUUUUAUUGAGAGACUUCUUAAGGUAAAUAAAUAUCUCCUUUCUAAGGUCCAAUGUUUAGGAUUAAAGGUCGCAUUCUAUUUGAUUUAUGUAUCACUUUUGCAGCAAAACACACUUAACACUACACUGAGAAGGAGAGAGAGAAAACUUACCAGCAAUCACAUCUGUUGCAGCACAAAUAGCUUCAGCGACGUGUUCUUCAUCUGUGGGAACAACUUUGUCACUGUAUUCCAGCCAAAUCUCUGGUUCAGGGCUGGAGCUUCGCUGAAGCCUCAUGACUAGAGGAACCCUAGUGCAGAUUCCUUGUCCACGAGGCAAAUUGAUUCCUGCCAACGACUCAAGAACACUCGACUUCCCUGAAGACUGGUCUCCAACCACCACAAUGGUGGGAAGCUGGAUCCCUUCUCUCAUCACAUUCAGGUUUCUCAAUCUGUCGACAGUGUCAAGCAAUGGCCGGAUCCGGUCAUUGUAAGAUGAUACAAUUGGUGCUUCAAUGGGUGUGUUGACUAUAGAAAGAGAAGACAUCCCAGCUUCGACAUCAAUUUCAUAGUCAUUGGACAUCUUACUGCCUCCCAUUUUUGCACGAGUAUAAACAAAAGAGAGUGAGAGAGGAAAUAAAGGAUUAGAUGCAGAGAAGAAAAGUUUUUAGUGAGUGAAGAGACUCAUGUUGGUGGUGACAUUUAUAGAUUGGCUUGUGGUGACCUUUGGUGUUUUAACUUUUACAAAGAAGAAGUUUGAAAGUUUUUUUUUUGGUUAAAUGUAGAAGUUUGAAAGUUCUUCAUUGUUUUAAGAACAAGAGAUAGAUGUAAAUGUUGACAUCUGAGGUUUGUAACUUUUACGGAGUACAAGAGAUAAAUUUAACUGUUAAAUUACUAUUUUCUAUCUUUGAUUUUUUAGCCGUCAAGGACUUUGUAGUUUGAACCACGAUAGAUUGCAAG
Molecule: long non-coding RNA, 1898 nt
Filed under: Arabidopsis thaliana (thale cress)
Lineage: Eukaryota; Viridiplantae; Streptophyta; Magnoliopsida; Brassicales; Brassicaceae
Description: potential natural antisense gene, locus overlaps with AT1G60530 (AT1G60525)
Source: RNAcentral